UUUGCCAAUCCAUGUCUCGUGAUGCCCAAAAUUUCACCACGGCAACUCAUCAAAUCUGAAAGAAGAGCAACGUGCCGGCGAUCGACACUCAUGCCGUGGCUUUCCAUUGUGUAUUGAAUUUCCUUGGCAAUAGUCGCCCUCUUCAAUUCCCAAGGUACUGUAGACUUCCAGAAUAUUGUUUGAUGUAGUUGAGGUCCCUUUAACACCGUAGGUCGCCAUCACUUCCCGCAUGUUGUCACCUUCAACAAGUAGGUAAUAUCUUGGUGGUUUUCUUGUGUCGUCAAUAUUGAUGACAGCUCGACUGACAGUUGGCAAACCCUGAAGUAAUGGAAAAUAUUUAUGCCUUACAAUUGUAAAUACGAAUCUCGACCACGCACCUUGAUGACGACUCUGGGUAACGUUUCCUUGAGAUGUUGCAUAACGUGAUACAUCGAAGAUUUCGAAGAUGGAGCAGGUUUGACGAUAACGAUGGUUUCACUUAUGACUUUAAUGAAACUAGGCUUUAUUUUCAGCUUACAUGUGCAGAGGCUGAAAUUGGAACAUUAACAAUUAAAUUAAUUAAGAAAUUUAAAUAAAAUGAAAAGAUUAUUAAAUUGCCUCCACUGAAUCGAAUUUGCGUCCACUUCUAAUUUAAGCAAUCGGAUCCUAUUCAUGUCCAAUUUGAUCAACAUGAAACAAUCAUCGGGUAAGUAGACUUCCUCGAAAUAUUCUGUUACCUAUAAAAAUAAAAUUGUUAAAGAAGUUAAAACCCUAAGAUGUUCCAUUUUUACUUCUCCCAGUGUGGUCUUUUCUAUCCUUCCUUUUACUCGUCGAGCAUACUCAGGGUCAUCAUCUUUUAAAAGCUGAGUAGAAAUGACUGGCGUACUGAUUGCUUUUGAAGCAUUAAUAAUUUCCUUAAUCCUGAAAUAAUUCCAUCAAACGAAACUAGUGUCAUUAAAUGAAUUCCAAAAAUGGCACUGAAUUGGAAAAUACCUAGGAACUCCCUGUGUGAUGUUCAUGGAAGCAACACCAGCAAAAUGAAAUGUCUUGAGCGUCAUUUGAGUACCCGGUUCUCCAAUACUCUGGGCGCAAAGUGCUCCAACGGCGGUACCUGGCUCAAUUUUAGCCCGUUCAUACUUUUCCUUAGAAAAGUCGCAGAAUUCCACUAACUGACCAACAGUUAUGCGCUCCAGGUGUUUUUCUACUGUAAGUAAAGAUCGACCUUCCAUUUUGAAAAGCUGCCGUACUUUUUUGAUCCGUUUGACUUGGCUCUCAACAAAAACCCUGUACAACAAACGCAACACAUUAUCAUGAAUAUCAAUUGAAUUUAAAGAAAAUAAUAGUAACCGGAGCUCAUGUUGAAAGUCAACUCCGAGCAUUUUAAAAGAAUCCGUGUCCAUAAUUGUGUUAAACGCUUGUUGCAGUUCAAUAUCAUCCAAAGGUUCUUCAUCCGGAUAAGGGGAAGCGGCUUUGAUAUGGUCAAGAGCUCGCUGGAAAUCAACAGGGCGAUCUUUGGCUUCCAUGUAAGUAGGAUCUAGCCCAUCACCUCCAUAAACGAAUUGAAUAAUCUCUCCAGUGGAGUUUCUCACAGUUGAAUCGUACUGGCAACAAAGGUCUUCCAACGAUUUAACUAGUCGCCGUUGCAUGUAACUAAAAAAAUACAAAAUUUAUAACAUCAUUGAAGUCAUUCAGUGCCAAUGUCGAAUAACCUACCCAGUUUCAGCUGUUUUUACGGCUGUGUCCACCAAUCCUUCACGCCCACCCAUCGUGUGGAAGAAAAAUUCUGUGGGAGUAAGUCCGGAGUAAAAGCUGUUGGAGACAAAACCUUUAGCAGCCGGGAUUUUCGAAUGUCGCUUGAAAUGAGGCAAACUACGAUCUUCAAAACCAUUGGGCACUCGUUUGCCGUUUAAAGCUUGUUGUCCUACGCAGGCAAUCAUCUGAGAAAUGUUGAUGUAUGAUCCUUUUGAACCACUUUUAGACAUGACCAAUGGACUAUUGCUCGGAUGCAGCUCCUUUUUGCACACUUCUCCGGCCUGAUCACGAAUUCCAGACAGUUCUGUGUUUCAGAAGUAAUAAUCCAAAAUAUUAACAUAUAAGUAAUAAUUCUGUUCUGACUACUGUUAUUUAACAAACCUUUCAAGAUUUUUGAUUCCAAGGAUUCUUCUUCAUUGCAUCCUGGAAGGCAAGGCAGUUGACCUAAGGUGAGUAAACGAAUGUAUUCGUCGCACUUGGAAUAACCAGUGUCCAAAAGUGUUUGUUUUUCCUUUAGCAAAGUUUUACCUAAUUAAAAUAUCGAAAGAAUGUUACGAAACACAACAAAUGAAUAAACAAAAUAAAUAAUGAUUACCAGGAGUUACAUCACCGAUGCCGAUAGAGAAUCCUCGGUUCAUCAUAUAAUAAGAAGCUACUCGGCAAAGUUUCCACAUUGCCUGAAUAGCGAAAUCCUCUCCGUAGUCGCGAAGAAGUACGUAAAAAAUGUUGAUUUUUGAACCAGAUCCAAUGGUAGAUUUGUCAACGCAUCCUGCUAACACCUCAGAAUUACGGACCAACAGAAACCCGUCAUUGACGCAAAACUCUUCGUUCUUCUUUGAAUACUCUUUUCCUUUGGUUCUCAGGUUAACUUUAAUGCGAUCUCCAGGAUUAGGACGAAGAAUCAAACUGAAAAUCUGUUUUCCUGACCACAGGGCUGCGGGUUUUUGGAUACACGGAGGCGGAAGUUUAAUGACCAUGUUUACCUCGUCACCUUUUAAAAAGGCAAGUUGAUUUAGGUAAUGCAAAUUGCAAACUGAAAGAAAUUAGAGAAACGUACCUGCAAGCAUGGAUGCAACCAUUUGGCAAGUCUUGGCUCGAUCAAAGAAAGCAUCCUUUAAUGUCAGUAAGUAAGCUCCAGUUAUGAAAUCCUAUCAUCAAUUUAAAUUACACCAGUUAUUUAUAAAACCUUGAUUGCAGAAAUUAUUACCUGAAUAGCUGCUAUCAAUAAUUCGCCGUUACGCGGAGUCACUAAAUUAAAUUUAUUUCCCAUUAGGAUCCAGGCUUCGGCACGAGCUUCUUCUGUUUGAGGAAGAUGGAGAUUCAUCUCGUCACCGUCGAAAUCUGCAUUGUAGGGUGUACAGACGCACUCAUUAAAGCGGAAAGUGCGGUGCGGCAAAAUCUUGGCUCGGUGACACAUAAUGGAAAGUUUAUGCAACGACGGCUGACGGUUGAACAAGACGAUAUCUUCAUCCAUCAUAUGCCUUUCAAUCAAAUCGCCAAGCUGAAAGAAAAUGUUUUUUGUUAA
This 3256-nucleotide long non-coding RNA is filed under the name Daphnia pulex (common water flea). RNAcentral describes it as "uncharacterized LOC124193359". The record is from RNAcentral. Lineage: Eukaryota; Metazoa; Arthropoda; Branchiopoda; Diplostraca; Daphniidae.